ACAGGGAUUGCCCUAGUAACGGCGAGUGAAGCGGCAACAGCUCAAAUUUGAAAUCUGGCUCUUUUAGAGUCCGAGUUGUAAUUUGCAGAGAGCGCUUUGGCGUUGGCAGCGGUCCAAGUUCCUUGGAACAGGACGUCACAGAGGGUGAGAAUCCCGUACGUGGUCGCUAACCUUCGCCGUGUAAAGCCUCUUCGACGAGUCGAGUUGUUUGGGAAUGCAGCUCUAAAUGGGAGGUAAAUUUCUUCUAAAGCUAAAUACUGGCCAGAGACCGAUAGCGCACAAGUAGAGUGAUCGAAAGAUGAAAAGCACUUUGGAAAGAGAGUCAAACAGCACGUGAAAUUGUUGAAAGGGAAGCGCUUGCAGCCAGACUUGCCCGCAGUUGCUCAUCCGAACUUUUGUUCGGUGCACUCUUCUGCGGGCAGGCCAGCAUCAGUUUGGGCGGUUGGAUAAAGGUCUCUGUCAUGUACCUCCUCUCGGGGAGGCCUUAUAGGGGAGACGACAUGCAACCAGCCUGGACUGAGGUCCGCGCAUCUGCUAGGAUGCUGGCGUAAUGGCUGUAAGCGGCCCGUCUUGAAACACGGACCAAGGAGUCUAACAUCUAUGCGAGUGUUUGGGUGUCAAGCCCGAGCGCGUAAUGAAAGUGAACGGAGGUGGGAACCCUUAAGGGUGCACCAUCGACCGAUCCUGAUGUCUUCGGAUGGAUUUGAGUAAGAGCAUGGCUGUUGGGACCCGAAAGAUGGUGAACUAUGCUUGAAUAGGGUGAAGCCAGAGGAAACUCUGGUGGAGGCUCGCAGCGGUUCUGACGUGCAAAUCGAUCGUCAAAUUUGGGCAUAGGGGCGAAAGACUAAU
Molecule: ribosomal RNA, 849 nt
Filed under: Coniothyrium glycines
Lineage: Eukaryota; Fungi; Ascomycota; Dothideomycetes; Pleosporales; Coniothyriaceae
Description: partial large subunit ribosomal RNA
Rfam family: Eukaryotic large subunit ribosomal RNA
Source: RNAcentral